Molecule: long non-coding RNA, 673 nt
Organism: Drosophila mojavensis
Lineage: Eukaryota; Metazoa; Arthropoda; Insecta; Diptera; Drosophilidae
Exons: 2
Source: RefSeq, a predicted model, not a curated record
UCAUUCGUUGACAAAUUUUUUACUAAAUCCCUCCAAUAUUUUUUUUAUAGAACAGAAUUUCAUAUUUAAAUAGUCGUUACAAAGUUUCGUUAAUAAACUUUUUGCUAUUUUAUUAAAAAUGUUAACCCUUUAAAAUUUGUAUAAAACUCGAGUCAAUCGAAACAAAUUGAUUGCUUUUAACAUUGACUGAGUGGAGUGGAUUGAAUUGGAUUUUUAUUUAAUAGAUUUUUUGGAACUGUAUUCAUUUCACUUUUCAUUAAAUAAUAAUUAACCAAAGCUACAUAUAUUAUAUUUUACGAACUCUUGAAAUGAAGGAUAUAGAAAUUUGGCAGCUUGGUAAAUAAAUAUUUGAAUGAAUGGAGUGGCUUAGUCCUGCAUUAAUAUUUCAAUAAAUUUUAUAAGCUAAAAAAUUCCAAGUUAUAGUAGAGCAAUUAAUGUGAAUUUCUUGCUUAUUCCAUGGGGCGACGCAAUGCGCAGUUCGCAGCGGCACAGUCAACGCCUUAACCUUGAAGCUGUCGUCGAGAUGUGGGGCUGGAGCAAUUGGCGGCGCUGGCCAUGCCCCAGUUGUGCGUGGCGCGUUUGGCAUGUUGCUGUUGCCAAAGGGGUUUGCGUUUAAUUAAAAAAAUAUAUAAAUGUGAGCUUGUGGCUGGCGUUGCCUGGCAUGCAAUAGAAA